This 112-nucleotide microRNA precursor is filed under the name Schistosoma mansoni. RNAcentral's name for it is "microRNA sma-mir-8409 precursor". The record is from miRBase by way of RNAcentral. Lineage: Eukaryota; Metazoa; Platyhelminthes; Trematoda; Strigeidida; Schistosomatidae.
CAGAAUAUGGGCAAUCAGGAAAUAGCUAGUUACAAAAGGUUACCUAAUAGUUCACGUACUCUGUCUGUUAGUGUAAUCGCUUUGCGUUCGUCGACAAUUUGCUCAUAGACAC